This is a non-coding RNA of Gossypium arboreum, 108 nucleotides long. NCBI's taxonomy places the organism in Eukaryota, Viridiplantae, Streptophyta, Magnoliopsida, Malvales, Malvaceae. The record is from Rfam.
AAUGUUGCGAUAAGAUCACUUUCAUAAUAACUCCUUGAACCACUCCCAUGCCUCAUAUAAAGAUUCUUCAUCAAGUUGCUGAAAUGAAGUGAUUUCAUUUCAGAUAUU